GCCCUGAUCGCUUAGUUGGUUAAAGCGAAGGUCUCAUAUUACGUAAUAUAUGAGUCUUGAUUAGGACGCAAUCCUUAGCCCCCAGUUCGAGUCUGGGUCGGGGCA
Molecule: non-coding RNA, 105 nt
Organism: Kwoniella shivajii
Lineage: Eukaryota; Fungi; Basidiomycota; Tremellomycetes; Tremellales; Cryptococcaceae
Source: the annotation of a RefSeq genome assembly